Molecule: ribosomal RNA, 253 nt
Filed under: uncultured bacterium
Lineage: Bacteria
Description: partial 16S ribosomal RNA
Rfam family: Bacterial small subunit ribosomal RNA
Source: RNAcentral
UACAGAGGGUGCGAGCGUUGUUCGGAAUUACUGGGCGUAAAGCGCGCGCAGGCGGCUCUUUAAGUCAGGGGUGAAAUCCUGGAGCUCAACUCCAGAACUGCCUUUGAUACUGAGGAUCUUGAGUACGGGAGAGGUGAGUGGAACUGCGAGUGUAGAGGUGAAAUUCGUAGAUAUUCGCAAGAACACCAGUGGCGAAGGCGGCUCACUGGCCCGUAACUGACGCUGAGGCACGAAAGCGUGGGGAGCAAACAGG